UGAAUACGAGACGCUAAGGCGUCGAAGUAGUGUAUGUCAUACUUCCAAGAAAAGCUUGCACUGUCAUAGAUAAAAAACGCCUGUACCAUAACCGACACAGGUGGGUAGGUAGAGUAUACUAAGGGGCGCGAGAUAACUCUCUCUAAGGAACUCGGCAAAAUAACUCCGUAACUUCGGGAGAAGGAGUGCCUUAUUCGUAAGGUUGCAAUAACAAGAUCCAAGCAACUGUUUAUCAAAAACACAGGUCUCCGCUAAGUCGUAAGACGAUGUAUGGGGGCUGACGCCUGCCCAGUGCCAGAAGGUUAAAGAAGUUGGUUAGCAAUUGCGAAGCUGAUAACUGAAGCCCUGGUGAACGGCGGCCGUAACGAUAACGGUCCUAAGGUAGCGAAAUUCCUUGUCGGGUAAGUUCCGACCCGCACGAAAGGCGUAAUGAUUUGGAUACUGUCUCGGAGAGGGGCUCGGUGAAAUAGACUUGUCUGUGAAGAUGCGGACUACCUGCACCAGGACAGAAAGACCCUAUGAAGCUUUACUGUAACUUGAAAUUGAAAUUGGACUUUAUUCGCGCAGUAUAGGUGGGAGGCGUUGAUUAUAAUCUUGUGGGAUUAUUGGAGCCAUCAGUGAGAUACCACUCUUGUAAUGUUAGAUUUCUAACUUUGAAUCAUUAUCUGGUCAAAGAACAGUUUCAGGCGGGCAGUUUGACUGGGGCGGUCGCCUCCUAAACGGUAACGGAGGCGUACAAAGGUUUCCUCUGAACGGUUAGAAAUCGUAUCUAGAGUGUAAAGGCAUAAGGAAGCUUGACUGUGAGACCUACAAGUCGAGCAGGGACGAAAGUCGGUCUUAGUGAUCUGACGGUACUGAGUGGAAAGGCCGUCACUCAACGGAUAAAAGUUACUCUAGGAUAACAGGCUGAUCUCCCCCAAGAGUUCACAUCGACGGGGAGGUUUGGCACCUCGAUGUCGGCUCAUCGCAUCCUGGGGCGGUAGUACGUCCCAAGGGUUGGGCUGUUCGCCCAUGAAAGCGGUACGCGAGCUGGGUUCAGAACGUCGUGAGACAGUUCGGUCCAUAUCCGGUGUAGGCGUUAGAAUAUUGAGAGGAGCCUUCUUUAGUACGAGAGGACCGAGAAGGACAUACCUCUGGUGUACCAGUUAUCGUGCCAACGGUAAACGCUGGGUAGCUAUGUAUAGAGUGGAUAACCGCUGAAAGCAUCUAAGUGGGAAGCCCACCUCAAGAUAAGUAUUCUCAUU
This 1244-nucleotide ribosomal RNA is filed under the name metagenome. RNAcentral describes it as "bacterial LSU rRNA". It matches the Rfam family "Bacterial large subunit ribosomal RNA", at positions 1564 to 2818 of the family's 2925-position model. The record is from RNAcentral.